CAGUAGCCGCGGUAAUACGAAGGGGGCUAGCGUUGUUCGGAAUUACUGGGCGUAAAGCGUGCGCAGGCGGUUUCUCAAGUCAGUGGUGAAAGCCCGGAGCUCAGCUCCGGAACUGCCAUUGAAACUGUGAAGCUGGAGGACGAGAGAGGUGAGUGGAAUUCCCAGUGUAGAGGUGAAAUUCGUAGAUAUUGGGAAGAACACCGGUGGCGAAGGCGGCUCACUGGCUCGUUUCUGACGCUCAUGCACGACAGCGUGGUGAUCAAACAGGAUUAGAUACCCCGGUAGUCCCUGUCUCUUAUAC
This 301-nucleotide ribosomal RNA is filed under the name uncultured bacterium. RNAcentral describes it as "partial 16S ribosomal RNA". It matches the Rfam family "Bacterial small subunit ribosomal RNA", at positions 509 to 807 of the family's 1533-position model. The record is from RNAcentral.